RNAcentral lists this small RNA (76 nucleotides) under Novosphingobium sp. Fuku2-ISO-50. RNAcentral's name for it is "Makes More Granules Regulator RNA (mmgR)". It matches the Rfam family "Makes More Granules Regulator RNA (mmgR)". Rfam says of the family: SuhB later renamed mmgR (makes more granules regulator) was a putative non-coding RNA found multiple times in the Agrobacterium tumefaciens genome and related alpha-proteobacteria. Lineage: Bacteria; Pseudomonadati; Pseudomonadota; Alphaproteobacteria; Sphingomonadales; Sphingomonadaceae. The record is from Rfam by way of RNAcentral.
AGAGCAUGCCUUUCAGGCAUCCUCUCCCAAACUUUUCAGCCCGGCCGGAAACGGUCGGGCAUUUUUUUUGAGUCAA